ACCAGUGUUGAUAGGCUAAAGGCUACAGGCAAUGACAUCUAGUGAGAGUCACUGCUAAGCUCACCCUAGCAUGUUGUAAAGGGACAAACGUUUAAAUUGCUAACAGUACAUAACCAGCACAAUGAGAAACGUCUUGUAACAACGGCUACAUAAGCUAUUCAGGGCGAUGACGGAGGCUUUAAAAAACUUCACGAGUUUAACAGUGUGACCAGAUGUUCCAGUGACCGUCUCACGUUUGUAACAGUAAACAGUAGUUGUCAUUUCGAAGCGGUCACGGGAGCAGGCCAAAGCGUCUUUGGCAGUGAAUUGUGUGGAGGGAGUCGGGUCCCAUCUGUUCCCUGUCCACAGGGGAUGUUGGGUUAGCCAGCCAGUCUCCACCACCACCACCCUCCCCUCUCCCACCUCCAGUCCUCCUUAACACCCAGAGAGAGGAUAAUGAGAACAGGGAGAGGGUGCACCGCACAUCUCCGGGCAGCAUGCAUGUCUGGGCUCCCGCCUCGUCACGUCUCGUCCCCUCGGCUCCGUCAUAUGGACUCACGGCCUCAGCUGGCUGCAUGUCACCGAGAGCAGCUUGGGCGAGCUCUUCUGUAAACACCGUCUGAGUUGUGACAAAGAGGCCACCGUGCGUCGCCCCUCCCAGAUGACGUCUUUCAUUACCUCCCUGCACCUCUGACAAAAUGCCUGGGUCUUAUUCAGAUUUAGAUGAGGCAUCGAGUCAUUUAUUUUUGCAGCCUCGCUCUCGUUGUCUGGCGCGGCCUGCAGCCCACGGCGAUGCAGCGAGAGGCCGGAGGCUUCGAAAAACUUCAUGACUUUAACAGUUUGACCAGAUGUUCCAGUGACCGUCUCACGUUUGUAACAGAUGAGCUCGGGCGUUGCGCUCUCUGCUUUGCCAGGAGACGCUGAGACGCCCUCGGGGACACACCCACACAUGCACACGAGGAAGAGGAAAAACUCCUGAUGGACUCUCGCUGCCUGAAAAUGAAAUUCCGCUUCUCUCCGCCCGCAGAACACAAUGUGCAGACAUUUGCAUGUGUGAAUGAAAGUGUGUUCCCCCUUCUUAUGCUGUCUGAAUACUUCACAUUAUUGUGUGAUCCCUCUUUUCACCCCCUGCAAGAUUAGUGUCGCACAGAAUAUUUGUCUAAUUUUUCAAUAUCUGACACUGCUCUGCUCCACAUUCAUGUUUUUUUGGUGUUCGGAAGAUUACUUCCCAUCCCGCAAUCACGUUAAACAAAUGGCAGAAAUAGCCAGAAAACACCCGAGCUCGUUCCUUGAGGGGCAGACUGAAAUUAGAGUGUGUCAGAGGGUGAACAUGGUCCUUUUGGGACCCGGGUCCAGACUAUUAUUAGAGUAUUGAUUCAGACAGAAAAUGGACUGGCCUGGCACCGAGACUCUUUGCAGGAUAUUAUUUCACUCGUGAGAGUUUUAGGUUUUUUUUUUAAAAGUUUUUUUUAUUCCAAUUCAAAACUCCCAAUAGAAAGGUGGACGUCCUGUUCUGUAUUCAUCUUCUUCCUCCAUCUUCAUCGAGGAACCUCAAAAAAAUGAUGGAGGGGUCAUUAUAUCACCAAAUCUUGCUUUGGUGCCAGAUUUUGGUUUCAACUGUAUUGAAGUUUACAGGAGAGAAACGCCCUAAAACUCAACAUAUCCCAAAUGAAAUUCGGACUUGAAAAACGUGUCAAUUACAAAAUCAGAGUCAUUAACCUUCCUCUGGAGGCCUUUCAUCAUCAGAAGUCAAACACGGUAGCUAUGUUUGGUUUAAAUGUGUUUGUCCAUGCAUCUCCUCAUGACUUGAGUACAGCUGACACCACAGUCUGGCACCAAAGUGAGAUUCGGUGAUGUAAUUCACAUCACAUCCUUCAUUUUUUGGGUUCCUUGCCAGACCAGCAGCAGUCCUCAGACCUUCCUGAUGUUCCCCGGUCACAUGACCAUCCCCUGCCUACACACCUGCCCCUCCUUACUGCUAAUUAAUUACUCAUUAUA
Molecule: long non-coding RNA, 1977 nt
Organism: Acanthopagrus latus (yellowfin seabream)
Lineage: Eukaryota; Metazoa; Chordata; Actinopteri; Spariformes; Sparidae
Exons: 3
Source: RefSeq, a predicted model, not a curated record